GAGGUGAAAUCCUACAGCUCAACUGUAGAACUGCCUUUGAUACUGAAAAACUUGAGUUAUUGUGAAGUGGUUAGAAUGUGUGGUGUAGCGGUGAAAUGCAUAGAUAUAACACAGAAUACCGAUUGCGAAGGCAGAUCACUAACAAUAUACUGACGCUCAUGGACGAAAGCGUGGGGAGCGAACAGGAUUAGAUACCCUGGUAGUCCACGCCGUAAACGAUGGAUACUAGCUGUUCGUCUAACAUUGGUUAGAUGAGUGGCUAAGCGAAAGUGAUAAGUAUCCCACCUGGGGAGUACGGUCGCAAGACUGAAACUCAAAGGAAUUGACGGGGGCCCGCACAAGCGGUGGAGCAUG
Molecule: ribosomal RNA, 354 nt
Filed under: uncultured Bacteroidota bacterium
Lineage: Bacteria; Pseudomonadati; Bacteroidota
Description: bacterial SSU rRNA
Rfam family: Bacterial small subunit ribosomal RNA
Source: RNAcentral